This 724-nucleotide ribosomal RNA is filed under the name uncultured archaeon. RNAcentral describes it as "bacterial SSU rRNA". It matches the Rfam family "Archaeal small subunit ribosomal RNA", at positions 325 to 1051 of the family's 1478-position model. The record is from RNAcentral.
ACGGGGUGCAGCAGGCGCGAAACCUCUGCGAUAGGCGAAAGCUUGACAGGGUUACUCUGAGUGAUUUCCGUUAAGGAGAUCUUUUGGCACCUCUAAAAAUGGUGCAGAAUAAGGGGUGGGCAAGUCUGGUGUCAGCCGCCGCGGUAAUACCAGCACCCCGAGUGGUCGGGACGUUUAUUGGGCCUAAAGCAUCCGUAGCCGGUUCUACAAGUCUUCCGUUAAAUCCACCUGCUUAACAGAUGGGCUGCGGAAGAUACUAUAGAGCUAGGAGGCGGGAGGGGCAAGCGGUACUCGAUGGGUAGGGGUAAAAUCCGUUGAUCCAUUGAAGACCACCAGUGGCGAAGGCGGCUUGCCAGAACGCGCUCGACGGUGAGGGAUGAAAGCUGGGGGAGCAAACCGGAUUAGAUACCCGGGUAGUCCCAGCUGUAAACGAUGCAGACUCGGUGAUGAGUUGGCUUAUUGCUAACUCAGUGCCGCAGGGAAGCCGUUAAGUUUGCCGCCUGGGGAGUACGGCCGCAAGACUGAAACUUAAAGGAAUUGGCGGGGGAGCACCACAAGGGGUGAAGCCUGCGGUUCAAUUGGAGUCAACGCCGAAAAUCUUACCGGGGGCGACAGCAGAGUGAAGGUCAAGCUGAAGACUUUACCAGACAAGCUGAGAGGAGGUGCAUGGCCGUCGCCAGCUCGUGCCGUGAGGUGUCCUGUUAAGUCAGGUAACGAGCGAGAU